Molecule: ribosomal RNA, 254 nt
Filed under: uncultured bacterium
Lineage: Bacteria
Description: partial 16S ribosomal RNA
Rfam family: Bacterial small subunit ribosomal RNA
Source: RNAcentral
UACGUAGGGUGCAAGCGUUGUCCGGAAUUAUUGGGCGUAAAGAGCUCGUAGGCGGUCUGUCGCGUCGGCUGUGAAAACUCGGGGCUCAACUCCGAGCUUGCAGUCGAUACGGGCAGGCUAGAGUUCGGCAGGGGGAGACUGGAAUUCCUGGUGUAGCGGUGAAAUGCGCAGAUAUCAGGAGGAACACCGGUGGCGAAGGCGGGUCUCUGGGCCGAUACUGACGCUGAGGAGCGAAAGCGUGGGGAGCGAACAGG